UGGAGGGUGAGGCGCAUGGAUGGU
This 24-nucleotide microRNA is filed under the name Gallus gallus (chicken). RNAcentral describes it as "microRNA Ros-gga". Lineage: Eukaryota; Metazoa; Chordata; Aves; Galliformes; Phasianidae. The record is from RNAcentral.